GUGGGGAAUAUUGGACAAUGGGCGCAAGCCUGAUCCAGCCAUGCCGCGUGUGUGAAGAAGGCCUUUUGGUUGUAAAGCACUUUAAGCGAGGAGGAGGCUACCGAGAUUAAUACUCUUGGAUAGUGGACGUUACUCGCAGAAUAAGCACCGGCUAACUCUGUGCCAGCAGCCGCGGUAAUACAGAGGGUGCAAGCGUUAAUCGGAUUUACUGGGCGUAAAGCGCGCGUAGGUGGCCAAUUAAGUCAAAUGUGAAAUCCCCGAGCUUAACUUGGGAAUUGCAUUCGAUACUGGUUGGCUAGAGUAUGGGAGAGGAUGGUAGAAUUCCAGGUGUAGCGGUGAAAUGCGUAGAGAUCUGGAGGAAUACCGAUGGCGAAGGCAGCCAUCUGGCCUAAUACUGACACUGAGGUGCGAAAGCAUGGGGAGCAAACAGGAUUAGAUACCCGGGUAGUCC
This 451-nucleotide ribosomal RNA is filed under the name uncultured bacterium. RNAcentral describes it as "partial 16S ribosomal RNA". It matches the Rfam family "Bacterial small subunit ribosomal RNA", at positions 354 to 796 of the family's 1533-position model. The record is from RNAcentral.